CACAUGAGAUGAUGGCUGAAGUGAGUCAGUGAAGGAGAAGAUCAAGAUCUGGAGGAGGACAUGCAGUUUACACUUCAGGAGAAAGACACAGAUGAGCUCCAGGGCAGAUUCAGCAAUCAUAAAGGAUCUAGGACAUGGAGUCAUGAUACCCACAGAAAAAUGGGUAUCAAAGUAUGCCCAAACAUGUUGGAUGAAUAUAUUUAAAUAUAUAAUGUCUAAUCAGUCAGCCCAAGUGAAGCCACACAAUGUAAAAGAAUAAAUGAAUCAAAUAAUAAAAAUGUAAUA
Long non-coding RNA from Rhinichthys klamathensis goyatoka, 285 nucleotides. RefSeq lists it as uncharacterized. The record is from RefSeq and is a predicted model, not a curated record. Lineage: Eukaryota; Metazoa; Chordata; Actinopteri; Cypriniformes; Leuciscidae. The transcript is spliced from 3 exons.